GUGUGUUUAUGAUGGUCUGUGUCUAAACUCUGUGGAGGGACCAGACUUGAUGCUUUACAC
Salmo salar (Atlantic salmon) is the source of this 60-nucleotide non-coding RNA. The record is from Rfam. Lineage: Eukaryota; Metazoa; Chordata; Actinopteri; Salmoniformes; Salmonidae.